Molecule: long non-coding RNA, 1153 nt
Organism: Lycium barbarum (goji berry)
Lineage: Eukaryota; Viridiplantae; Streptophyta; Magnoliopsida; Solanales; Solanaceae
Exons: 4
Source: RefSeq, a predicted model, not a curated record
UCACUUACACGGUUUGCCCUUUGAGGAGAAGCCCUAGCAGCCGCCUCAUUUUCCUUUCUCUCUCAUCGUUUCCUUGCCAGAAAUGGCAAUGAUGUAGAGUACUAUACUUUUCUACGGUCUGUGCGUGGUUGAAAAGGGCAACACAUUAAUUUUUUUGCCCUCUCUCAUCGUUUCUCCACCGUGGUCAACCGUUGAAAAGUUGUGAGUUUUGGAGGAGAUAAGAAAGUUCUCAAGCUCCAUUCUCAGCAAGGCUGACACUACAAAAGGUAACGACGUGAUAUCGAUGGAGAACAAGUGAGCGAUAUCUUAGCUAAACGACCGAGGUAGACAAGGAGGAGAGCUUGGCCCAGGUCCUCAGUAGCUGUCAGCUGUUAGAUAGCACUCCAUUGUUCGGAGGUGCUUAUGGCUAUCCUUUUGAUGUACAUUCAUAUAUGCAUAUUUUGUGCAUGACGGAGUCUUGUUCCGUCUAUGUAUUCAUUAUGUUAGUAGAGGCUCGUAGAUACGCGGUGUGGGUUAGAUGGUCUCACAAGAUGUUUUCAUAUGUAUGUAUAUUGUUUGAUGGCCGAGAGGCAAAUGUAUAUAAAGUACUUAUGUUUUGAUAAAAUAUGAUUUUCCUACAAUUGGUAUGUAAAAUUGAUAAAAGAGUAUUAAAUGAGCAAGAUAAGUAAUAGUAGAGUGAGCGGUGCUCGGUAACUAGCUCCGGGUACCCGUCGCGGCCCCUAGCUGGGUCAUGACAGAAGUGGUAUCAGAGCAGUUCGCCCUAGAAAGUGUCUACGAGCCGUGUCUAGUAGAGUCUUGUUUAUGGUGAGUUACGCGUCACGCUAAUAAACAAGAGGCUACAGGGCAUUUAGGAAAAUGACCAUCCUUCUUCUCAUGAGAUCGUGCGAUAGAGCCCUGCCUAGGAUUAUAUUAUUCCUAAAAGUGCGUUAUGGUUUCGGAAAAAUGCCGCCGAAAGGAAAAGCUACAGCUGCCCAGAAAGGCAAAGCUACGACGAAGAAGCGGGCAGAAAGGGAGCCUCCGGCCGAUGUAGAGGAAAGUGAAUCGCAAAGUGAGGCCGCGCCCAAUGUAGAAGAGCAGGGGGAGCCUCAGCUCCGAUUCCUCCACCGGGUGCUUCGGGUCAACAAGUGUCUGAGGCCAUACAUUUAUUGACGCA